This 515-nucleotide ribosomal RNA is filed under the name uncultured bacterium. RNAcentral's name for it is "partial 16S ribosomal RNA". It matches the Rfam family "Bacterial small subunit ribosomal RNA", at positions 28 to 523 of the family's 1533-position model. The record is from RNAcentral.
GAUGAACGCUGGCGGCGUGCCUAAUACAUGCAAGUCGAGCGAAUGGAUUAAGAGCUUGCUCUUAUGAAGUUAGCGGCGGACGGGUGAGUAACACGUGGGUAACCUGCCCAUAAGACUGGGAUAACUCCGGGAAACCGGGGCUAAUACCGGAUAACAUUUUGAACCGCAUGGUUCGAAAUUGAAAGGCGGCUUCGGCUGUCACUUAUGGAUGGACCCGCGUCGCAUUAGCUAGUUGGUGAGGUAACGGCUCACCAAGGCAACGAUGCGUAGCCGACCUGAGAGGGUGAUCGGCCACACUGGGACUGAGACACGGCCCAGACUCCUACGGGAGGCAGCAGUAGGGAAUCUUCCGCAAUGGACGAAAGUCUGACGGAGCAACGCCGCGUGAGUGAUGAAGGCUUUCGGGUCGUAAAACUCUGUUGUUAGGGAAGAACAAGUGCUAGUUGAAUAAGCUGGCACCUUGACGGUACCUAACCAGAAAGCACCGGCUAACUACGUGCCAGCAGCCGCAGUAA